Lactuca sativa (garden lettuce) is the source of this 924-nucleotide long non-coding RNA. RefSeq lists it as uncharacterized. Lineage: Eukaryota; Viridiplantae; Streptophyta; Magnoliopsida; Asterales; Asteraceae. The record is from RefSeq and is a predicted model, not a curated record.
UAUGAUUUGGGUUGAUCCCAUCCUACAUUCACGAUGGCGCCAUUUUGAAUUUGGGCGUAAUCUCUUCCUAAAUCCACGAACAUCAUGGAGUAUAUAGAGGGAAACGGUUCUUCACUAGCAAUCGUCCCACCAAAACCCACAAAAGCCCUAAUAAUAGUGACAAAGCUUCGAGAAAUCAAGGCGAAAGAACGAGGGCAAAGUCUGACGGUCAAAUCUAGUUACAAAGAGCAUAAUGUCAAAAAGAGACGGAAGAGGUAGAUGAGGUGGACCAGGUAGACAAGAUGGACAACAUACUACUCCAUACAACACAUUAAGUUCAGAUCCAAUCCCUCCAAUCUCAAAAGAUAUCAACCCGAUCCAAUCUUACACGUUGGGAUGAGGAAAAAGGAUGGAGAUCUACCGAUGCAACUAAAAAAUAUGAAGAAAUGAUGAAGCUGAGAAACAAGCAUACCAUGGACACAAUGAGCGACAAGUUGAUUCUAGAGAAGGUACUUUGACGAAGCUCCGUUCAUUUGUCAGGGUGGAGAUGUGAUCCUGUUGUUAGUAACACCAUAAGUAAUACUAAGAAUUCAAAAUGCCCUACUUAUGAUGAAUUAGUGGAUGAUGUUUGAAAGAUGAGAAAAGAUGUUCAAUUAUGGAACAAAAGAUGAUUGAGAAAAAUAUCAUGCCUCCUCCUUCAAGUACAUCAUCGGGACAAUCAGAAGAUGCUACAUCCGACUGUGAUACAUCAACCCACACCCGUUUUGGAGAGUAUCAUGGUGAGAAUAUUGAUGAGUUUGAUCAUAUAGAAGGAUGUUUAGUACUUUCAUUAUAACUAGUUUUUUGUUUUUUAAUUCACUUAUUUCAAGUGUAGUACAUGGUUUUUCAUUUGUGGUUUGAACUUUUAUGUUCUAACUUUAUUUUAACUACAAAUAGUUUUGCCCA